CCACAGAAAGUUGGAUUUAGUUAUUUUAUUUAUUUUUGAUUUUGAUUUUUGAAAGAUGCCUACCCUCACCACAGUGGACUUUGACACGCUUCUACAGAAGAUAUCUGUUAUGGAACAGAAGAUCUGCCGACUCGAACUGAAUUAUGAUGUAAACGGCGCGUAUGGAAAUUAAACAACCCUGCCUGUGACUCCGAACGGCGACCAGCAGCCCAGCAACUCAUUGAACAAACAGCUCCCUGAGGAAAAUGAGAAUCCCUGGACCACUCUGGGUGCAAGACCAAAGGAUCAAUGAACCCCCCACCUAGACAAAGGAAACUGGCCAAUACUACCGAGAACUGUCCCAGGACAAGUGAAACAACUGCGGGCUGUUCCCACAACAAAUGAUAGGAGUGGAACCUGCCUCGGAUCCCACUCCGGAGAACCUCUUGCCUUGGCUGAGCCGGCCAGCUCUCGGCAGGCUCAGCUGCUUAGGAAGAAAACCUCAGAAAGUCCCUGAUCAUCCUCGCAAGUCUCAGUGUCUACAGAGCGCUGAUCAGCUGACAGCCUCCCUGCCGCCGCCCCCACCGCACGAGUUGACCGGACCCUCCCCCGCCCCCCUCGGACUCUGUCAGCCAUCGCACCCUCUCCGAUCACCAGAAUCCACCUAGAACUGAUGACUCUGCUUGGCAGCCUCUACCCCUGCUGCAAGCAACAGCAGCUUCUCAGUCUUUGGUGCACUGCAGCGACCGCUCACUCCCCUGGCAAAUCAAUCAUAUCACUACGAUGACCAUCUCCUGCUGUUACCAGACGUCCGGAGGACUCACAACACGUCUUGAGCUUUAUAUUUAAUAAACUUGUUAAACUCGGA
This is a long non-coding RNA of Fundulus heteroclitus (mummichog), 847 nucleotides long. RefSeq lists it as uncharacterized. NCBI's taxonomy places the organism in Eukaryota, Metazoa, Chordata, Actinopteri, Cyprinodontiformes, Fundulidae. The transcript is spliced from 2 exons. The record is from RefSeq and is a predicted model, not a curated record.